This 804-nucleotide ribosomal RNA is filed under the name Triticum aestivum (bread wheat). RNAcentral describes it as "partial small subunit ribosomal RNA". Lineage: Eukaryota; Viridiplantae; Streptophyta; Magnoliopsida; Poales; Poaceae. The record is from RNAcentral.
AUGGCUUACUAUUCAGAUCAUCAUGCUUAUGCGAGCAACACUACAAAUAGCACGGAAAGUAUUCAAGACCUGAUAAGUAAGAUUUCCCAUCGAUUAGAUGAUUUAGCUCGGCAGCGAGAAGUAGUUUUUGAGGAUAGGCCUAGCUCUUAUGACCCUUAUUCUAGAGGUCAUCCUUAUGUUGCUCCUACAUGCCAUAUUUGUGGAUUUCAGGGCCAUUCACCCGCUGAAUGUCAGCAUGGUUACUCUCACCCUCCAGAUUGUUUUGGCAUGAGCUUCGCUCAAGAGCAUAGCUCAUACCAAAACAAUUACUCACAUGGGUGGCCUGAAAACCCGAAUAUGUCAUAUAGGAACAACAACCCUGAGAUCUCAUCGUUUGCCUCUAGUUAUCCAUUGCAGGGAAUUAGGUAUAAUGAGGAGAGCCACAACCAUGCACCACAACAGUUUUAUUCACCUCCUACUCAUAUACCGCAGCACCAGGAGAUGUGUCCAAUGGAGUUAAAUGGUCCUCCAUUUGGUCAACCAACAACUCCAGCACCUGUUGUGCAAUCUCAUGUGCAAGUGCCCACACAAGAUGAGUUCGAUGACAUAGACAAGCUCACACUUUUGAGUCUCGAGUUCACUUGGAGUGCCGAGGAUGAUCCUAUUAGGAAGGUUAUACUAGAGGAAAUGAAGAAGAUCAAGAGUGGGAAGGAGCUAGUGGAAGAAGUAAGGAAGAUUGAGAAGAACAUCAACGCUGGCAGUACUAUCUCUUCCCUCCUUGAGCUGAGUGUUGCUGGGAUAUCCCUUGAGGUGUGUGAGGUUUAA